RNAcentral lists this ribosomal RNA (251 nucleotides) under uncultured prokaryote. Its description in RNAcentral is "partial 16S rRNA". It matches the Rfam family "Bacterial small subunit ribosomal RNA", at positions 525 to 775 of the family's 1533-position model. The record is from RNAcentral.
ACGAGGGGUGCAAGCGUUAUUCGGAUUGAUUGGGUGUAAAGGGUGUGCAGACGGCUUAUUAAGUCACUUGUUAAAUUCUUCGGCCUAACUGAAGGUCUGCAAGUGAUACUGAUGAGCUAGAGGGUGGAAGAGAGAAGUGGAAUUCUCGGAGUAGCGGUAAAAUGCGUAGAUCUCGAGAGGAACACCAAUGGCGAAGGCAGCUUCGUGGUCCAUUCCUGACGUUCAUACACGAAAGCGUGGGGAGCAAACAG